Molecule: RNA transcript, 787 nt
Organism: Patella vulgata (common limpet)
Lineage: Eukaryota; Metazoa; Mollusca; Gastropoda; Patellidae
Exons: 6
Source: RefSeq, a predicted model, not a curated record
UUUGUCUAUAUUGCCAACGUACGGUACAUUGACAAAUAAUUGUGUGCCGUGCUUGAACAGGUGGUGGUGGACAAUAUACCGUUACAGUUGAUAAUUAGGACAGACAAUCAUGCCCCCGACAGACAACCCAAAAAGAUUUCCCGGUGAAGUUGAUGAAGCAUAUCAACUAAACCACCACAACCAACCGAGAAAAAACCCGGACAGCUAUCUCAACAUAUGAUAGAUCAAUUUUUUAAUGACGGUUAUGUAAUUGUAGAAAAGUUUUUCGACUGUGAAAAAGAUUUGGAACCCUGUAAAAAGGCCAUAGAACAGGAUGUCGACAAAUUGGCCAACAAGCUCUUUAAAGGCGGCAAAAUCAAGCAACUGUAUAAUGAAUAUGGAUUACGUGACCGACUUAUCCACAUAGAGAACGAGUUUCCUGGAGCUAAUAUAAUUCUUCAUAAAUCGGCGACAUUGGCACAGGCUUAUAGAGAUUUAUGGACUAAUGAAAGGUUACUAAAUGUUGUAGAGCAGUUUAUUGGACCGGAAAUAUCUGGCAAUCCAGUCUGGAACCUCAGAACAAAAACACCAAAUAAUGAAGCUACAAAUGUUCCUUGGCAUCAAGCUUACCAAACUUAUCAGAUGAAAUUCGCUGGAGUUUAGAUUUACGCUGGCAGAAAACGGGUCUCCCAGCAUCCUUUUAUGAUCUUCAGGAGUGUGUUGAAUUUAGAUCUCCCGCUAAACCAAAUUUAAAAAUAGACUGGAGUCAGUAUGAUGGCGUAAACCGACACGGAGUUGCUGCUAAAGA